This 962-nucleotide unclassified non-coding RNA is filed under the name Hevea brasiliensis (rubber tree). The record is from RNAcentral. Lineage: Eukaryota; Viridiplantae; Streptophyta; Magnoliopsida; Malpighiales; Euphorbiaceae.
CUUUAUUAAUAUAAAGAAGCUAUUCUUUGGAAACUCAAACAAAACAAUCCCUUUUUAUCCUUUUUCUCAUUUCUCAUGCUUCCAUUUUGGAUUAGGGUUAGGGUUUCGCUGUGCUCUUCUUUCACUUUGAAGCUUAAACCCCAGUCGUCCCGAUCCUUCUCAACUAGCCGUUAGAUCCUAUUUCCCGCCAAUUUCUAUAUCAUCCCAGCCGUUGAUUCACCUUAUUUCAAAUCUUAGCUGUUAGAUCUGUCCUAUUCGGUACCAUUUCUUUUUUCUCAUACCAUUUCAGUGGAAAUGUCAGCGGUUGAAGCGGAGAAGAAGGUCGAUGACGAGAAAAAGGGAGGGGAAGUAUUGUUUUGUGGUGCCACUUGUUGGAAUAUGAUUGGUCGCAAGAAAGGUUCUCAGGAAGGCAACUUGGUCUCUCCUACUCGUCUCCGUCCUCUCGUCGGCGUCGACAUUCGCUUUGUUGCCUCCGGCUGCGCAUCAUGUCAUUGUGUGGCCCUGGACGUGGAAGGGCGUUGCUAUACAUGGGGGCGUAAUGAGAAGGGGCAACUUGGUCAUGGAGACAGAUUUCGGCGUGAUGGGCCUACAAUUGUUUCAGAACUUUCAAAUUAUAAAAUUAUUAGAGCUGGUUCGGGGAGGAGCCACACAGUGGUGGUCACAGAGGAUGGUCAAUCCCUAGCAUUUGGCUGGAAUAAACAUGGGCAGCUAGGUUCUGGUUCGGCAAAAAAUGAAAUCGAGUCAUCUCCUGUUCGCUGUCUCGUGUCUGACGUCAAGAAUACUGCUUGUGGAGCUGAUUUUACUGUCUGGUUGUCAUCUGUUGAAGGAGCUUCUAUACUAACUGCGGGCCUUCCACAGUAUGGUCAGCUUGGACAUGGAACGGACAAUGAGUACAAUACUAAAGAUAGCUCAGUCAGGCUUGCUUAUGAGGCACAGCCACGGCCUAGAGCAAUUGCUUCUCU